This 1031-nucleotide ribosomal RNA is filed under the name uncultured fungus. RNAcentral's name for it is "eukaryotic LSU rRNA". The stretch from base 352 to 1031 matches the Rfam family "Eukaryotic large subunit ribosomal RNA", at positions 1 to 664 of the family's 3401-position model. Lineage: Eukaryota; Fungi. The record is from RNAcentral.
AUCGAUGAAGAACGCAGCGAAAUGCGAUAAGUAAUGUGAAUUGCAGAAUUCAGUGAAUCAUCGAAUCUUUGAACGCACCUUGCGCCCGCUGGUAUUCCGGCGGGCAUGCCCGUUUGAGUGUCUUGAAACCAUCAACCCCCCGCCUUUGCGGGCGCGGGGGUUGGACGUGGGGGACUUGCUGCGCGCGAGCGCGGCUCCCCUUAAAUGCAUCGGUUGGGCUUGGGAUCGCCUGCGUGCCUCUGGCGUUGUAUCUACCUCGCUUGCUGGCCAUCGGCUUUCCCCUUGCGCGCUCGGCCUUGACCUUGCCUCUGGAGUGGCAGUCGACUUUGACGGUUUUUCCGUUCUUUCUUCUGACCUCAAAUCGGGUAGGACUACCCGCUGAACUUAAGCAUAUCAAUAAGCGGAGGAAAAGAAACUAACAAGGAUUCCCCUAGUAACUGCGAGUGAAGAGGGAAAAGCUCAAAUUUAAAAUCUGGCAGUCUUUGAUUGUCCGAGUUGUAAUUUAGAGAAGUGUUACCCGUGUUGGCCCGUGUACAAGUUUCCUGGAAUGGAACGUCAUAGAGGGUGAGAAUCCCGUCUUUGACACGGACUACCAAUGCAUUGUGGUAUGCUCUCGAAGAGUCGAGUUGUUUGGGAAUGCAGCUCUAAAUGGGUGGUAAAUUCCAUCUAAAGCUAAAUAUUGGGGAGAGACCGAUAGCGAACAAGUACCGUGAGGGAAAGAUGAAAAGAACUUUGGAAAGAGAGUUAAACAGUACGUGAAAUUGCUGAAAGGGAAACGCUUGAAGUCAGUCGCGUUAGUCGGGGAUCAGCCUUCCUUUUGGUUGGUGUACUUCCUGAUUGACGGGUCAGCAUCAGUUUUGACCGGUGGAUAAGAGCUUGAGGAAUGUGGCAUCUUCGGGUGUGUUAUAGCCUCUUGUUGUAUACAUCGGUUGGGACUGAGGAACUCAGCACGCCGCAAGGCCGGGUUUUUAACCACGUACGUGCUUAGGAUGCUGGCAUAAUGGCUUUAAUCGACCCGUCUUGAAACACGG